Molecule: ribosomal RNA, 478 nt
Filed under: uncultured bacterium
Lineage: Bacteria
Description: partial 16S ribosomal RNA
Rfam family: Bacterial small subunit ribosomal RNA
Source: RNAcentral
GAUGAACGCUGGCGGCGUGCUUAACACAUGCAAGUCGAACGGGAAAUCUUUCAUUGAGACUUCGGUGGAUUUGAUUUAUUUCUAGUGGCGGACGGGUGAGUAACGCGUGGGUAACCUGCCUUAUACAGGGGGAUAACAGUCAGAAAUGGCUGCUAAUACCGCAUAAGCGCACAGAGCUGCAUGGCUCAGUGUGAAAAACUCCGGUGGUAUAAGAUGGACCCGCGUUGGAUUAGCUAGUUGGUGGGGUAACGGCCCACCAAGGCGACGAUCCAUAGCCGGCCUGAGAGGGUGAACGGCCACAUUGGGACUGAGACACGGCCCAGACUCCUACGGGAGGCAGCAGUGGGGAAUAUUGCACAAUGGGGGAAACCCUGAUGCAGCGACGCCGCGUGAAGGAAGAAGUAUCUCGGUAUGUAAACUUCUAUCAGCAGGGAAGAUAGUGACGGUACCUGACGAAGAAGCCCCGGCUAACUACGUG